UAGCUCAGUUGGUAGAGCGUUUGCCUGUCAUGCACAAGGUCCUGGGUUCAAUCCCCAG
RNAcentral lists this transfer RNA (58 nucleotides) under Ictidomys tridecemlineatus (thirteen-lined ground squirrel). RNAcentral describes it as "Spermophilus tridecemlineatus (thirteen-lined ground squirrel) tRNA". It matches the Rfam family "tRNA", at positions 8 to 63 of the family's 71-position model. From Rfam's summary of the family: Transfer RNA (tRNA) molecules are approximately 80 nucleotides in length. Their secondary structure includes four short double-helical elements and three loops (D, anti-codon, and T loops). Lineage: Eukaryota; Metazoa; Chordata; Mammalia; Rodentia; Sciuridae. The record is from Rfam by way of RNAcentral.